Molecule: ribosomal RNA, 216 nt
Filed under: Glomeromycotina sp.
Lineage: Eukaryota; Fungi; Glomeromycota
Description: partial small subunit ribosomal RNA
Rfam family: Eukaryotic small subunit ribosomal RNA (bases 40-216)
Source: RNAcentral
GGGUCAGUAGGUUGGUCGUGCCACCGGUACGUACUGGUCUCACUGAUUCCUCCUUCCUGAAGAACCGUAAUGCCAUUAAUUUGGUGUUGCGGGGAAACAGGACUGUUACUUUGAAAAAAUUAGAGCGUUUAAAGCAAGCUAACGCUUGAAUACAUUAGCAUGGAAUAAUGAAAUAGGGCGAUCGAUCCUAUUUUGUUGGUUUCUAGGAUUGACGUA